This 200-nucleotide long non-coding RNA is filed under the name Medicago truncatula (barrel medic). RNAcentral describes it as "lncRNA gene31941". Lineage: Eukaryota; Viridiplantae; Streptophyta; Magnoliopsida; Fabales; Fabaceae. The record is from RNAcentral.
GUCCGAUUGGAAAUAUACAACUCUACAACGUAUGCAUUCAUUAAGAUAUACAACUUUGUAUGUAUACAUAUACAAAUAUUUAUGAGAUGUUAUACAACUUAUUAGUUCUGUAAAAUAUACAACUCUAAAAUAUUUGCGGUGCCCCUAAAAAGAAUAUUCUUUAUAGUGUUGAACUUCAAUCCUUGUAUUGUAGUCUCGUG